Molecule: long non-coding RNA, 1023 nt
Organism: Macrobrachium nipponense
Lineage: Eukaryota; Metazoa; Arthropoda; Malacostraca; Decapoda; Palaemonidae
Exons: 3
Source: RefSeq, a predicted model, not a curated record
CUUGGUUUUCAUCUUAUAAGGAUGUUAAGUUAGCCACUCGAAGUUGAGAUUGUCUAUGAUCGAGCGUAUGUACGUGUGUAUCUGUAACCAAGUGGGUAAUUGUGUAAGCUCAAAUUGCGCAGCAACGCUAGGGGGGAAAGGAACGUAGCUCCCCUUAUAUUUUUGAAAUGAAAUAUUUCUCCCUUGUAAAAGGUUGACGGAAACUUAAGUCAGUUACGAAGGAGAUUUCAAUCACGAAGGGUCUCGUAACUCAGAUACUCUGAGCUCUAUUGACUAUAUAAGGAUAUAGCUACAGCUAUAUCUUUGAAGUGACGACGACUAUUCCUUUCGACAUGUAAUCGCCGUUUAAACCCAGCCAGGAAGAAGCAUUCCCUCAUCGCAGUCUCUCACUCUACGCGUACUUCGCCUUCGUCCCAGGAUGAUAUCGGUGGCUUGUGCUAUUUAUUGCAAUUCGGUGGCCUCUGCGACAUCGUCAGAUACUUUGAAGUUAUCGACCAAGCACCCGAUAUACGAUGUCUACGAAUCCUAGAAGCGCUGCACAUUGGGAGGGAGAGGCCCAGUAUGAAUGUCACACAGGAGACCUUCCUCCUCCCCACCAACGUCAGGUGAGCAGCUGACAACUCCCCACCACAACCAUUACACCAAAGGGACCCCGACGGUUACAGAAACGUUAGCUCUCGCCCUGAAGACGUCCCUCGAAAUCCUGAGGGUGAUCAAAGCACAGGCUCUCACCCUGAGGGCGACCUACCAGCACGCCCUUCGAGAAGACCUCAACCAUCGCCGAUGAGAAUGAGGCUCCGCCCAUGGAGAAGACAGCCAAUCAGAAGCCGUCCCCCCUGUUGACAUCACACACAACGCCACAAGAAGCAUCCAAGCAAAAUAGGGUACCAGACUCCCCAUAUAAUAAUAAUAAAUCUUUAUUUCAGCUCAAAGAUUGAUACAUGGAAUAUAAAAAGUAUAGACAAUAAUAUAUACACUCUACAUAUAUGAGAUAACAUGAUAAAAAAUUAUUAUUCAGCAAUA